AGGGCUGUAGCUCAGUGGCAAAGCAUCUGCCUUACAUCCGGAAGGUGACAGGUUCAAUCCCUUGCAGCUCCA
Podarcis lilfordi (Lilford's wall lizard) is the source of this 72-nucleotide non-coding RNA. Lineage: Eukaryota; Metazoa; Chordata; Lepidosauria; Squamata; Lacertidae. The record is from the annotation of a GenBank genome assembly.